This is a non-coding RNA of Odocoileus virginianus texanus, 703 nucleotides long. Lineage: Eukaryota; Metazoa; Chordata; Mammalia; Artiodactyla; Cervidae. The record is from RefSeq and is a predicted model, not a curated record.
GAAGCAGGGCAAAGGCUCUUCUCUCACGAGGCCUAUAACACAUUCAGCACUUGCUUCAGAUUUAAUGUAAGAAUUUUAUUUGUAUUUAUUAUUGUUCCAGAUAUUUUUCAGUGUUGAAGAAAUGUUUUGCAAAAGUCAACAUAUAUUAUCCUAGACGAGAGGAGCAUACAGAACCAUCUCUCAGAUCAAGGAAUUACCAGUUCACCAGAAAUGUGCCUCCACUUGCUUCCAGUCAUGAUCCUCUCCUUUAGAGCCAUUCUUCCCCACCCGGAGGAGUCAGGAUAGGUACCCAGGACAGGGGUCAAAUUGCUCCAUACGUUCAACACGGGGAUGACUAUUCAGCUCUGGGUCGUGGAGUCCUCAGGAAGGUCUUGAAGAAUGCACGUUAAGAAGCUUAGUUCCAAGUAGCAAAUCUACUACGUGGAAAUUAGACCCGGAGUUUUCCUGGAAGUGACCAGUGGGAAGAUCACACUGGACCGACAUCAAACCGGACUCGGUCUGCCACCCGUGCUUCCACUGUGCUUACCCAAACGCCUUCCCUCAUCACCCGAACACUUGGAACUUCUCUCUCCUUUGACUCCGUAAAGACUUUGCACUUCUCAUCCCCAACUUAUUCCCAUUUUAGUGGUUAUUUAUUCAUUUACACUUUCCAACUUCUCCCUCCCGGAGGCCAUAACUCUAAGACUGUAUCUAUGUUUUGAAG